Molecule: ribosomal RNA, 163 nt
Filed under: Acorus tatarinowii
Lineage: Eukaryota; Viridiplantae; Streptophyta; Magnoliopsida; Acorales; Acoraceae
Description: 5.8S ribosomal RNA
Rfam family: 5.8S ribosomal RNA
About the family: 5.8S ribosomal RNA (5.8S rRNA) is a component of the large subunit of the eukaryotic ribosome. It is transcribed by RNA polymerase I as part of the 45S precursor that also contains 18S and 28S rRNA.
Source: RNAcentral
GAUGACUCUCGGCAACGGAUAUCUAGGCUCUCGCAUCGAUGAAGAACGUAGCGAAAUGCGAUACUUGGUGUGAAUUGCAGAAUCCCGUGAACCAUCGAGUCUUUGAACGCAAGUUGCGCCCGUGACCCAUCGGGUCGAGGGCACGCCUGCCUGGGCGUCACGC